Molecule: microRNA precursor, 59 nt
Organism: Monodelphis domestica (gray short-tailed opossum)
Lineage: Eukaryota; Metazoa; Chordata; Mammalia; Didelphimorphia; Didelphidae
Product: mdo-mir-7386f
Source: Ensembl
ACUCGGAUGAGGCACUCUAUUUUGUGCAUCCCUCCAAAAUAAAUGCCUCAUCCUUGGGA